GAUUAUGGCUCAGGAUGAACGCUGGCGGCGUGCUUAACACAUGCAAGUCGAACGAAGCGCUUAAGUGGAUCCCCUCGGGGUGAAACUUAAGUGACUUAGUGGCGGACGGGUGAGUAACGCGUGGGUAAUCUGCCUCAUACAGGGGGAUAACAGUUGGAAACGACUGCUAAGACCGCAUAAAACAGUAGUGUCGCAUGACACAACUGUCAAAUAUUUAUAGGUAUGAGAUGGGCCCGCGUCUGAUUAGCUAGUUGGUGGGGUAAUGGCCUACCAAGGCGACGAUCAGUAGCCGGCUUGAGAGAGUGACCGGCCACAUUGGGACUGAGACACGGCCCAAACUCCUACGGGAGGCAGCAGUGGGGAAUAUUGCACAAUGGGCGAAAGCCUGAUGCAGCGAACCGCCGCGUGAGUGAAGAAGUAUUUCGGUAUGUAAAGCUCUAUCAGCAGGGAAGAUAAUGACAGUACCUGACUAAGAAGCCCCGGCUAACUACGUGCCAGCAGCCGC
RNAcentral lists this ribosomal RNA (505 nucleotides) under uncultured bacterium. RNAcentral describes it as "bacterial SSU rRNA". It matches the Rfam family "Bacterial small subunit ribosomal RNA", at positions 15 to 518 of the family's 1533-position model. The record is from RNAcentral.